RNAcentral lists this ribosomal RNA (657 nucleotides) under uncultured Shigella sp. Its description in RNAcentral is "bacterial SSU rRNA". It matches the Rfam family "Bacterial small subunit ribosomal RNA", at positions 1 to 653 of the family's 1533-position model. The record is from RNAcentral. Lineage: Bacteria; Pseudomonadati; Pseudomonadota; Gammaproteobacteria; Enterobacterales; Enterobacteriaceae.
UACCGUUUGAUCCUGGCUCAGAUUGAACGCUGGCGGCAGGCCUAACACAUGCAAGUCGAACGGUAACAGGAAGAAGNNNNNNUCUUUGCUGACGAGUGGCGGACGGGUGAGUAAUGUCUGGNNNACUGCCUGAUGGAGGGGGAUAACUACUGGAAACGGUAGCUAAUACCGCAUAACGUCGCAAGACCAAAAAGGGGGACCUUCGGGCCUCUUGCCAUCGGAUGUGCCCAGAUGGGAUUAGCUAGUAGGUGGGGUAACGGCUCACCUAGGCGACGAUCCCUAGCUGGUCUGAGAGGAUGACCAGCCACACUGGAACUGAGACACGGUCCAGACUCCUACGGGAGGCAGCAGUGGGGAAUAUUGCACAAUGGGCGCAAGCCUGAUGCAGCCAUGCCGCGUGUAUGAAGAAGGCCUUCGGGUUGUAAAGUACUUUCAGCGGGGAGGAAGGGAGUAAAGUUAAUACCUUUGCUCAUUGACGUUACCCGCAGAAGAAGCACCGGCUAACUCCGUGCCAGCAGCCGCGGUAAUACGGAGGGUGCAAGCGUUAAUCGGAAUUACUGGGCGUAAAGCGCACGCAGGCGGUUUGUUAAGUCAGAUGUGAAAUCCCCGGGCUCAACCUGGGAACUGCAUCUGAUACUGGCAAGCUUGAGUCUCGUA